Molecule: transfer RNA, 73 nt
Filed under: Pythonichthys microphthalmus
Lineage: Eukaryota; Metazoa; Chordata; Actinopteri; Anguilliformes; Heterenchelyidae
Description: tRNA-Ile
Rfam family: tRNA
About the family: Transfer RNA (tRNA) molecules are approximately 80 nucleotides in length. Their secondary structure includes four short double-helical elements and three loops (D, anti-codon, and T loops).
Source: RNAcentral
GGAAGUGUGCCUGAAAGACUAAAGGGCUACUUUGAUAGAGUAAAACACGAGAGUUAAAGUCUCUCCACUUCCU